This 228-nucleotide ribosomal RNA is filed under the name uncultured Lactobacillus sp. Its description in RNAcentral is "partial 16S ribosomal RNA". It matches the Rfam family "Bacterial small subunit ribosomal RNA", at positions 134 to 354 of the family's 1533-position model. Lineage: Bacteria; Bacillati; Bacillota; Bacilli; Lactobacillales; Lactobacillaceae. The record is from RNAcentral.
GAGAUCGGGAUAACGCCUGGAAACAGAUGCUAAUACCGGAUAACAAUAGAUGAUGCCUAUCAACUGUUUAAAAGAUGGUUCUGCUAUCACUCUUGGAUGGACCUGCGGUGCAUUAGCUAGUUGGUAGGGUAACGGCCCACCAAGGCGAUGAUGCAUAGCCGAGUUGAGAGACUGAUCGGCCACAUUGGGACUGAGACACGGCCCAAACUCCUACGGGAGGCAGCAGGC